UGCUAUGUGGAGAGUCUGCUGAGGCC
Molecule: non-coding RNA, 26 nt
Filed under: Drosophila erecta
Lineage: Eukaryota; Metazoa; Arthropoda; Insecta; Diptera; Drosophilidae
Also listed under: 1 other name
Source: RNAcentral